This 210-nucleotide ribosomal RNA is filed under the name uncultured soil bacterium. Its description in RNAcentral is "partial 16S ribosomal RNA". It matches the Rfam family "Bacterial small subunit ribosomal RNA", at positions 26 to 236 of the family's 1533-position model. The record is from RNAcentral.
AGAUUGAACGCUGGCGGCAUGCCUUACACAUGCAAGUCGAACGGCAGCACGGGAGCAAUCCUGGUGGCGAGUGGCGAACGGGUGAGUAAUAUAUCGGAACGUGCCCAGUCGUGGGGGAUAACGCAGUGAAAGCUGUGCUAAUACCGCAUACGAUCUAUGGAUGAAAGCGGGGGACUCGCAAGAGCCUCGCGCGAUUGGAGCGGCCGAUAU